GUGUUGCAUGAAAGGAGAGAAGGUUAGCACUCCCCUUGACAAGAAUGGAAGAGCCUGACAACGUGCAUACAGUCAAGGCACUGCCACCUACUUCGUGACAUCUAACCAUCAUUUUUA
Small nuclear RNA from Pteropus vampyrus (large flying fox), 117 nucleotides. NCBI's taxonomy places the organism in Eukaryota, Metazoa, Chordata, Mammalia, Chiroptera, Pteropodidae. The record is from Ensembl.